GACGAACGCUGGCGGCGUGCUUAACACAUGCAAGUCGAACGGAAAGGCCCUGCUUUUGUGGGGUGCUCGAGUGGCGAACGGGUGAGUAACACGUGAGUAACCUGCCCUUGACUUUGGGAUAACUUCAGGAAACUGGGGCUCAUACCGGAUAGGAGCUCCUGCUGCAUGGUGGGGGUUGGAAAGUUUCGGCGUUUGGGGAUGGACUCGCGGCUUAUCAGCUUGUUGGGGGGGUAGUGGCUUACCAAGGCUUUGACGGGUAGCCGGGCUGGGAGGGGGACCGGCAACAUUGGGACUGAGAUACGGCCCAGACUCCUACGGGAGGCAGCAGUGGGGAAUAGUGCACAAUGGGCGGAAGCCUGAUGCAGCAACGCCGCGUGCGGGAUAACGGCCUUCGGGUUGUAAACCGCUUUCGCCUGUGACGAAGCGUGAGUGACGGUAAUGGGUAAAGAAGCACCGGCUAACUACGUG
Molecule: ribosomal RNA, 468 nt
Filed under: uncultured bacterium
Lineage: Bacteria
Description: partial 16S ribosomal RNA
Rfam family: Bacterial small subunit ribosomal RNA
Source: RNAcentral